RNAcentral lists this ribosomal RNA (376 nucleotides) under uncultured bacterium. Its description in RNAcentral is "bacterial SSU rRNA". It matches the Rfam family "Bacterial small subunit ribosomal RNA", at positions 29 to 402 of the family's 1533-position model. The record is from RNAcentral.
AGUGAACGCUGGCGGUAGGCCUAACACAUGCAAGUCGAACGGCAGCACAGCAGUAGCAAUACUGUGGGUGGCGAGUGGCGGACGGGUGAGGAAUACAUCGGAAUCUUACCUUUUCGGUGGGGGAUAACGUAGGGAAACUUACGCUAAUACCGCAUACGACCUUAGGGUGAAAGUAGGGGAUCGCAAGACCUUACGCGGAUAGAUGAGCCGAUGUCGGAUUAGCUAGUUGGCGGGGAAAGCCCACCAAGGCUACGAUCCGUAGCUGGUCUGAGAGGAUGAUCAGCCACACUGGAACUGAGACACGGUCCAGACUCCUACGGGAGGCAACAGUGGGAAUAUUGGACAAUGGCGCAAGCCUGAUCCAGCCAUACCGCGU